CCUACGGGUGGCAGCAGUAGGGAAUCUUUCACAAUGGGCGAAAGCCUGAUGGAGCAACGCCGCGUGCAGGAUGAAGGCCUUCGGGUUGUAAACUGCUUUUAUAAGCGAGAAAUAUGAUGGUAACUUAUGACUAGGGAUCGGCUAACUACGUGCCAGCAGCCGCGGUCAUACGUAGGAUCCGAGCAUUAUCCGGGGUGACUGGGUGUAAAGAGUUGCGUAGGUGGCAUAAUAAGGAGCUAGUGAAAUCUGGUGGCUCAACCAUUCAGACUAUUAGCUAAACUGUUAAGCUCGAGACCGUUAGGGGGAACUAGAAUUUCUAGUGUAGGAGUGAAAUGCGUAGAUAUUAGAAGGAACACCAAUAGCGUAGGCAGGUUACUGGGACGGGUCUGACACUAAGGCACGAAAGCGUAGGGAGCAAACGGGAUUAGAUACCCGUGUAGUC
This 442-nucleotide ribosomal RNA is filed under the name uncultured bacterium. Its description in RNAcentral is "partial 16S ribosomal RNA". It matches the Rfam family "Bacterial small subunit ribosomal RNA", at positions 338 to 795 of the family's 1533-position model. The record is from RNAcentral.